AUUGAACGCUGGCGGCAGGCCUAACACAUGCAAGUCGAGCGAGCGGCGGACGGGUGAGUAAUGCCUGGGAAUUGCCCAGUCGAGGGGGAUAAUAGUUGGAAAUGACUGCUAAUACCGCAUAUGCAUGGAUUGCGCAGGUGGGAUUAGCUAGUGGGUGGGGUAAUGGCUCACAAAGGCGACGAUCCCUAGCUGGUCUGAGAGGAGGACCAGCCACACUGGAACUGAGACACGGUCCAGACUCCUACGGGAGGCAGCGUUGGGGAAUAUUGCACAAUGGGGGAAACCCUAAUGCGGCAAUGCCGCGUGUGUGAAGAAGGCCUUCGGGUUGUAAGGCACUUUCAGCGAGGAGGCGUUACUCGCAGAAAAAGCACCGGCUAACUCCGUGCCAGCAGCCGCGGUAAUAC
This 404-nucleotide ribosomal RNA is filed under the name uncultured bacterium. Its description in RNAcentral is "partial 16S ribosomal RNA". It matches the Rfam family "Bacterial small subunit ribosomal RNA", at positions 30 to 526 of the family's 1533-position model. The record is from RNAcentral.